UACGUAGGGGGCGAGCGUUGUCCGAAUUUACUGGGCGUAAAGCGCGCGUAGGCGGACCUUUAAGUGGAGGGUGAAAUCUCAGGGCUUAACCCUGAAACUGCCUUCCAAACUGGGGGUCUUGAGGUAUGGAGAGGGAAGUGGAAUUCCAGGUGUAGCGGUGAAAUGCGUAGAUAUCUGGAGGAACACCCGUGGCGAAGGCGGCUUCCUGGUCAUAUCCUGACGCUGAGGUGCGAAAGCCAGGGGAGCGAACGGG
This 253-nucleotide ribosomal RNA is filed under the name uncultured bacterium. RNAcentral's name for it is "partial 16S ribosomal RNA". It matches the Rfam family "Bacterial small subunit ribosomal RNA", at positions 524 to 776 of the family's 1533-position model. The record is from RNAcentral.